AUUCUACUCCCUCCGUUGCACAAUACAUGCCUUCUAUUUGUCAAAAUAUAUAUGUAUCUAGCCAUGUUUUAGUAUAUAGGUACAUCCAUUUUUGGACAAAUGGAAGUCAAGUAUUUUGGAACGGAGGGAGUACACA
This is a non-coding RNA of Triticum aestivum (bread wheat), 136 nucleotides long. Lineage: Eukaryota; Viridiplantae; Streptophyta; Magnoliopsida; Poales; Poaceae. The record is from Rfam.